Apodemus sylvaticus (European woodmouse) is the source of this 143-nucleotide small nucleolar RNA. RefSeq annotates it as small nucleolar RNA SNORA48. The record is from RefSeq and is a predicted model, not a curated record. Lineage: Eukaryota; Metazoa; Chordata; Mammalia; Rodentia; Muridae. The transcript has a single exon.
CGCCCCUGGCAGUGGGCAAAGAGACACCUUGUUGGUGGUGAUGCCUUUAUAUCAGUCAGGAGCAGAGCAGGAUGCAGUCCUUGUUCAUCCUAGCUUGAUACCUGGCUUGGCGGUCAAAGCUGUUUUACGCCCAGGACAUACAA